This 1064-nucleotide unclassified non-coding RNA is filed under the name Hevea brasiliensis (rubber tree). Lineage: Eukaryota; Viridiplantae; Streptophyta; Magnoliopsida; Malpighiales; Euphorbiaceae. The record is from RNAcentral.
CUUAUUUUCUUCAAUUCCACAUAUUCAACACUUUCUUCUUCUAUUUCACUCACCUGGGGAGCUUCUCCCAUGUGAAAAUAGAAACCCCUUUUGUUAAAAAAGGAUUUUUUUUUUGAAAUCUUGAAAUUGCUACUGUUUUGGGGGUUCUUUGGUUUUUUGGGGUUGUUGAGUUGGGAACUGAAAUGGGUGUUGUUUGAAUUUGUUGUUAAUUGGUUUAAGCAAUGAAGAACACAAUGAAAAGUAGAGGAGGAGGCGAAUCAGCUGGAAAAGGUGUUUUUUCUAGGAAAUUGACUGUUCUUCUGUGUAUUGGAUGCUUUUGUGUUGGGAUGCUCUUCACUGACAGGAUGUGGACAGUGCCAGAAGCUAAAGGCAUAACAAGGACAACACAGAUUGAUGAUCAAAAGCUAGGGGUAGUUUCUGAGGACUGUGAUCCUACCAAUAAGGAUGUGAAAAGUGAAUCCAAGGAUAAUUUCGGUGAAGUUACAAAAACACAUCAUGCUAUACAAACCCUGGAUAAAACAAUUUCAAACUUAGAGAUGGAACUAGCUGCAGCAAGGGCUUUGCAAGAUUCUAUACUGAGUGGGUCUCCAAUAACAGAAGACAUAAAGAUCCCCGAAUUGGCGAAGAAGAGAAAAUAUCGAAUGGUCAUAGGGAUAAACACUGCCUUCAACAGCCGAAAGAGAAGAGACUCAGUUCGUGCUACUUGGAUGCCACAAGGUGAUAAGCGAAAGAAGCUAGAGGAAGAAAAAGGCAUUGUAAUUCGUUUUGUAAUAGGUCACAGUGCAACAUCAGGUGGCAUUCUUGAUAGAGCAAUUGAAGCGGAAGACAAGAAGCAUGGUGAUUUCUUGAGGCUGGAACAUGUUGAGGGAUAUCUGGAAUUAUCUGCUAAGACAAAGACAUAUUUUACUACUGCUGUUGCUCUAUGGGAUGCUGAUUUCUAUAUUAAAGUUGAUGAUGAUGUACAUGUAAACAUAGGUGCACUGGGAGCAACUCUAGCUAGGCAUCAUUCGAAACCUCGGGUAUAUAUUGGUUGCAUGAAAUCUGGUCCAGUCCUUGCUCAAAAG